This 1275-nucleotide long non-coding RNA is filed under the name Ricinus communis (castor bean). RNAcentral describes it as "long non-coding RNA (RCOM_LNC002015)". The record is from RNAcentral. Lineage: Eukaryota; Viridiplantae; Streptophyta; Magnoliopsida; Malpighiales; Euphorbiaceae.
UUUCGCCUCAGAAAACCCUUUGAGAAAGAAAAGUUAGGGUUUGGGACGUUCUCCCCCCGCUCUCCUCUUUUUCUGAAGAGAAUCCCAUUGAAACCUUGAUCCAAGUCUCCUUUUCCCUUAGUUUCAACUCAGAAAACCCUUAGACAAAGAAAAAGAUGAGUUUUUGAUGUUCUAACCCUAGCCGCCUCCUCCCUUUCCUCUCUUCAUUCUUUUAAUUAAUACCCCCUGUCACCUCCAACACGGCCGUUUCCUGUCCGUGUUGGGGACACGGGCUGGUGUUCCUGGCCGUGUUACUCUCUGUAGUCGUGCUCCCUAAAAGCUUCUUUUUCUUUCCUGUUUGACGCAUCCAACACGGCUGUGUUGGUGGCCGUGUUAGUAACACGGCCAGUGUUGAAUCCAACACGGCCGUGUUAACCUUCCAUAUGGGCAUACUUAGCUCAUUUCGGCAGCUUUGACGUCCAAUUAUGCUCUAAUUCUUUCCUUUAUCAUCCUUUGACCUCUUUUGGACCUAAUGCACACAAACAUACGUNNNNNNNNNNNNNNNNNNNNNNNNNNUAAAAUCAAUCUUAAAAACUCCAUUUAGAUGUGUGUAUUUUAAGCACAUAAAAAAGGUUGCCUAUGCAUUUCCUUUCUAACAAGACUCACACAAACCAUUCCUAGCCUAAAUUUCACACAUGUCUUUCACCAUACCAUGAGACAUCAUAUACUUAAGUGCAUUCAUACUAAAAUGGCCAUGUCUUCUAUGCCAUAAAUCACUUUGAUCAAUCUAAGAAAUUAAGGCUGGCUCAUUGACAUGGUUCAAUUAAUAGGAAAACUAUUAUUACACAUAACUACUUUGGCAAUUUCAGACCCAUGAGCAUCAUAAAUAAGUCAAUAGUUAUCCUGAAAAUUGACUGGACAUCCUUUCUUCAUCAUUUGUGCAACACUCAAUAAAUUUUGAUUUAAAUCUGGAAUUAAUAACACAUUAGAAAUAAAUUUAGUACGUUGAGUGGUUUGGAUUGCCACAGUACCUUUGCCUUCAGCCUACACCAAUUUAUAAUUUCCCAACUUGAUUGUUGUCUUGAAGGACCUAUCCAAGGAUGUAAACAACUCAACAUCCCUUGCCAUGUGAUUAGUGCAGCCACUAUCCACAUUCCUUGUCUGUUUUGAGGCCCUUUGACAUGACUGAGAUACCAUGAACAAGUGUUCUUCAGAUUUUGGUUGCUCAUCUAUAAAAUUGGCUUAUUUUGUAGGCUGAUUCUGAGUUUGAUUUUGCUGCAUUCUACAAAACCUUUU